GCGGAGGAUAAGAAACUAAAUAGGAUUCCCUCAGUAAUGGCGAAUGAACAGGGAUCAGCUCAGCAUGGAAAUUGGGGCCUAUGGCCUUGAAUUGUAGUCUCGAGAUGUACCGCCAACGGAGGCGCAGAUGUAAGCCUCUUGGAAAAGAGCAUCAACGAGGGUGAGAGUCCCGUUCGUCAUCUGCAGUCCCCCGUGUUCGGUGUACCUUCUAAGAGUCGCGUUCCUCGGAAUUGGAGCGUAAAGUGGGUGGUAAAUUUCAUCUAAAGCUAAAUAUUGGUUCGAGACCGAUAGCAAACAAGUACCAUGAGGGAAAGGUGAAAAGGACUUUGAAAAGAGAGUUAAAAGUGCCUGAAAUUGCUGAAAGGGAAGCGAAUGGAACCAGUGUUGCUUGGUGAGAUUGUUACGCGCUAAGGUGAUUGCCUGCUUCUUCAACGCAAGUGUGGUUGUGGGUUUUGAUCUGGGCGCGCGUGGUGGUUCUUGCCUUGUGUGUCAACGCCAGUUCACAAUCGAGGAAAACUCCAGGGACAUGGUAGUUUGCCCCCGGGUGAGCGAAUGUGCUUGGUGGAACUCAUUGGUGAACUGAUUUCUUGUGUCUGGUUGCAGUGUCUCAUGUCCUGGACAACUUCGGUGGGGGACCUCGUCCUUCUUCGGAUUGCUU
RNAcentral lists this ribosomal RNA (658 nucleotides) under Tryblionella compressa. Its description in RNAcentral is "partial large subunit ribosomal RNA". It matches the Rfam family "Eukaryotic large subunit ribosomal RNA", at positions 50 to 612 of the family's 3401-position model. The record is from RNAcentral. Lineage: Eukaryota; Bacillariophyta; Bacillariophyceae; Bacillariales; Bacillariaceae.